UUUUUUUUAUUAAAAACUGAAUGUGUGACACACAACUUGAAAAUCUUUUGAGAGCUUGUGAAGGUAAGUUAUGAUGGUCCAUGUUAAAUUAAAAAGUGUUAAACAAAAGUCGUAAACUAUACAAAAGAUGUACAUUAUAAACAACAUAAAUAAUAUAAAUGUUAAAGUUUUACUAACUAGCAUUUUGUGCAUAAUCGCACACAACAUCAUAAAGUAUUAUGUAUAUAGAAGGAAACACUUUUGUAACUCGCAUUUCCUUUUCCCCGGGGUCAAACCCUUUAAAAAAAAAGAGAUAAAAAAAAAUAAUAUACAAUAGUGGUUAAUAUUUUCGUAAAUAAAAUAUAUAAAUAUGGGAGAAUGAAAUUCAUUACUUUUUUCCAGCGUUGUAAUUGUCAGAUUAUUAUUCCCUUACAUAGUUACAUUUCUCUCUUGUUUUCUUAGGAAACUGAUAAUGUUGUAUCGGAGGAAAAAUAAACUCACCUUCAUGCUGUUUAAAUUGUGCAUGUCAAAACACUUUGAUAGAAAAGACUUGUAAUAUUUUCAACCCCUCAUCACCAAGGGAAUAGAUAUAAUCCAAGUCUUUUUUAUUGUUUUAUCUCUCUAACUUCUUUCUCUGCCUUUUCUCGUUUUUUGACGUCUUUUUAGCAUUCUGAUUCAUUUUCUUUUACCUAAUUAAAGGCAAGUCAUUGAUAAGAACACAUAACAUAUAACUAUCAUUGAUAGCUCUUAUGUUUCUUAACAAAAAAUAUUAAAUUUUUCCUCGAAAAAAUGAAAAUAACAAGAUGCAUAUGUGUUUUCUACGUACAUUGUACAACGCACACCAUGCUUCAUUAAUAUUGGUCAAUUUAGCUAAUUCUGUUUUACACAAAUUUAAAGUUUUAAUAUAUUGUUAAUUUUAUUUGUAUCACAUAUACAAAUAAAAUUUGUUUCAAUAAAAAUAUUUCUCAACAACAAAUUAUUGUUUACGAGUAAUUAAUAAUACUUCGUAAAUAAAUUUAGUUUUUCUCUAUUCUAUAUUGAUAAAUAUAUAUUUAUAGUUUUCAGAUGAUUGGUACAAUAUGCUUUGAAAUGGUCAAGUUCGAUGAAAACUCUUGCAUUGGUAUUAUGAAAAUUUGCGGUGGUCAUUUUCCCAAAUCCUAUAUCAAAUUGUCAGAGGAUUCUACAUCGGGUAUUCUCUAUUAAUCUCAAGAAAAACUCUUAUCUCCUGAAAAUUGAUUUUUCAGUGUAUUCACCAUCACUUUCAUGUAAGAGAUUACAAGGGCUGCUCAAACCCGUGAAGGGUGGUGGAAAUAUAUCAUAGAUGGCUUUCGCACAAUAUUUCGGUUGUAGUGAUUUGGAAACAUCCAUGUAUGUCACAAAGAGGGAGAAGGAAGAAUGUUUCAUAUUUCUCGAGACAAAGAUACAUACAACCAAAACGAGGUGAAUGAUUUGUUGUCCACAAUGGAAAGUGUCAUUACCUUAAUAAGCCCAAGACAAAGAUCAGACUUGCAAGUUUGGUUUCGAAAAUUUGAGGUUUCUUACAAACUACCAGAGGAGUUACGUCAAUUUUUAAUGAGCUUAAGAGUUAGGGAAAUGUAAGUAUAUUUGACCCACAUCUUUUUCCUAUUCUGUUUCUCCAUUAAAAAUUCAGUUUCUCUUUGAUAUUACAGUGGUUUUGCUAAUCUUA
Molecule: long non-coding RNA, 1666 nt
Organism: Spinacia oleracea (spinach)
Lineage: Eukaryota; Viridiplantae; Streptophyta; Magnoliopsida; Caryophyllales; Amaranthaceae
Exons: 2
Source: RefSeq, a predicted model, not a curated record